AGUGAACGCUGGCGGUAGGCCUAACGCAUGCAAGUCGAACGGCAGCACAGUAAGAGCUUGCUCUUACGGGUGGCGAGUGGCGGACGGGUGAGGAAUACAUCGGAAUCUACUUUUUCGUGGGGGAUAACGUAGGGAAACUUACGCUAAUACCGCAUACGACCUACGGGUGAAAGCAGGGGAUCUUCGGACCUUGCGCGAUUGAAUGAGCCGAUGUCGGAUUAGCUAGUUGGCGGGGUAAAGGCCCACCAAGGCGACGAUCCGUAGCUGGUCUGAGAGGAUGAUCAGCCACACUGGAACUGAGACACGGUCCAGACUCCUACGGGAGGCAGCAGUGGGGAAUAUUGGACAAUGGGCGCAAGCCUGAUCCAGCCAUACCGCGUGGGUGAAGAAGGCCUUCGGGUUGUAAAGCCCUUUUGUUGGGAAAGAAAAGCAGCAGGUUAAUACCCCGCUGUUCUGACGGUAACCAAAGAAUAAGCACCGGCUAACUUCGUG
This 492-nucleotide ribosomal RNA is filed under the name uncultured bacterium. RNAcentral describes it as "partial 16S ribosomal RNA". It matches the Rfam family "Bacterial small subunit ribosomal RNA", at positions 29 to 507 of the family's 1533-position model. The record is from RNAcentral.